AUCAUGCUCUUUUUGAUUGUUAAGAUUUAUUUUUCUUCUCUCUCACUUUUCAUUUGUAUGUGUGCACUACAAUUUUCUGCGCAAAUAUGAGUUCAUCAGAAACCUCCCAUUUUCUAAUGUCUUCAGCCAAUGCAACAAAAAGCUUGUUUAUAAUGCUUAAAACUUUUUGAACUUCAAAACAGCUUCCAUUUAUCAAGUUUUUUCUGAAGGAGCAGAAGCAUGUAAAUUGUUAGAUUAG
Molecule: unclassified non-coding RNA, 238 nt
Filed under: Hevea brasiliensis (rubber tree)
Lineage: Eukaryota; Viridiplantae; Streptophyta; Magnoliopsida; Malpighiales; Euphorbiaceae
Source: RNAcentral